Molecule: unclassified non-coding RNA, 208 nt
Filed under: uncultured fungus
Lineage: Eukaryota; Fungi
Description: sequence contains ITS1
Source: RNAcentral
GUAUAAAUUUUAUAGGCACAAACAUUCUAUUAACAUACAUUGGGUGUAAAUGAAGCAACAUAGACCAUGAAAAAAUAUCCAAGGUCUACAAAAGGUGCACAGGUGGAGAUAUAAAGAUGACAAGGUGUGCACAUGCUCUCUAGAGAGCCAGCAACAACCCAUCAGGUUUAUUUCAAUAAUGAUCCUUCCGCAGGUUCACCUACGGAAA